RNAcentral lists this long non-coding RNA (1866 nucleotides) under Homo sapiens (human). RNAcentral's name for it is "HSALNT0240669". The record is from RNAcentral. Lineage: Eukaryota; Metazoa; Chordata; Mammalia; Primates; Hominidae.
GCCGGUCUGGCUGCGAUGGGGGAGGGCUACGCUGGGGAGCUGCGGGUAAGGGCAGCUGUCACCGUUUUCAGUUGUUGGUCGGUGUCCUGUGUGGCAUUGUGGGUUUGCCUGUAACCACCACAUGUUCAUUCAUUUAACUAGCACGAUCAAGCACCCACAAGUUUCAGCCACUGCUGGGAGUAAAGAGGGGAACGAGGUGCAUGCCCGGAGAACCCGCACCCACCAUCCAGAUUUGAAGUCCUUCCCCCAGGCCCUGGACGGGGAAACUCAGGACUCCUCUCCGGGUAGAGUCUGGCAGCAGUCGGGCCAGAACAGCUCAGUGCUGCCCUCUGGGGGCGAGGCCGCGGCUUCCUCCUGCUCAGCCCCAGCCUGGGUUGGAAGGAGCCCACCCAGCUAAGCGUGGCGAGACCCGACAGAGGGGUGGGCGCAGUCACUGCCCACACACCUGCAAGGCACGCCUGGACGCACAUCCGCAUGUGGCCAUGCACAGGUGUGCACACGGACUUUACCCUCGUUCGUUUGUAUUAUGUCCCCCGUUGGUGUCACACCCCGCGUGGGAAGCCCAGAAGCCGCUGCCGCUCCUCAGGAGUUGACAGGAGGGAGAGGUCCCCGCGGGUGGAGCGUGUCUGCUCCAGGGACCCUCAGACUCGGGGCCGGGCAAGCUGGAGGGAAGGCUGGUUUUGGGGUUAGCAGUUUAUUAACAGAGGGACUUGAGCGGGUGGGCGUGGGGGAGGGACACGUGCCAAAGGCAGGGAAGGGCUUUUUUGAGAUGGAGGGAUGGGGGAUAGGGGGUGAUACACAGCGCAGGCCAGCUUCAGAAGGGAAUGUUGUGUCCAUGCGCCUGGAGGCAGAGGCAUGGACACACGGCCCAGCCGGGGCCUGGUGCUCUGGCUGUUAAGGGACUAGAGACGGUGAAGCUGAAGAUGGCGAGGAGGAGCCAGGACCCUGGGGGAGAAGGAGUAGUUUGCAGAGCGCAGGUGGAGGAUGGGUCUCCAGGGUCCCUGCAUUCCUCCCGCGGCCUCGCGGGCUCCUCUCGGGACUGCAGCGCAGAGGCGCCACCCAAGAUGGCCAGCAGAGGGCGCUCCUGCUACAGAUUUGGGGAUCCCGGGCGGCCGGAGCGUGUCCCCGUUUAACAGGGCAUGAGCCUUGGAAGGCGGCUGGGCCUGGGGUCUCCAUGGGGAGCACUAGAGCCUGCCCCUUGGGAGCCACCGAGCACAAGAAUGAGGAGAGACGACCUCAUGAGGUGGGAACCCCACAGGGUUCCAUGCAUCCUUUUCUGCUGCUGCCGGGUCAGGCAUUUGUCUGGUCAAUGCUUCCAUCCUUUUGUCCCAAGGUGGUGCCUUUUAAAUCACCCCCGGAGAUGUGACUGGCCCGCCUAACCUGCCCUGGAGGUCUUCCUCCAGGCCAGGGGUCUGUUAGGGCCAGCUAGCCUUUCUAGAAAGUUCCCUGGGUUCUAGCCCCUGCAGCUUCCCUGGUGGCCCCUUGCUCCUGCUUCCUGUCCCUGCCUCUGGGAGGAGGACUUGCUUGUCUGGUCUCCUUCCUCACCCUGCCUCAUCCAAGGAGGCUUCUCCAUCGCUGCCGGUGCAUCCUGCAGUUCUGAGGACCAGACGCACCCUUGGUCUUCUGCCGUAAAGAGUUACGGGCGUUCACGCAGCUGGCGGGUGAACACUGCCAGGUCCCCUGCUUGGCUUGAGGUGUGGCAGCCGCCAUCAACUACUGGGGGAGGCGACUAGGGAGGAGAAAAUCCCUUCGGUUGUGAAUUCUGCCUUCCACCUCCCAGCAUCUCCACCUGGACAGAGGGACCACACACUCAAGCCAUUUACUCAUUGAUUUUUAAAUUAAAUUAAAUUAAAUUUAUUUUAAAAU